UACAGAGGUCCCGAGCGUCGUUCGGAUUCACUGGGCGUAAAGGGUGCGUAGGUGGCAUGGUAAGUUUGAUGUGAAAGCUCAGGGCUCAACCCUGAAAUGGCAUUGAAUACUACUGUGCUGGAGGUUUGGAGGGGGGACUGGAAUUCUUGGUGUAGCAGUGAAAUGCGUAGAUAUCAAGAGGAACACCAGUGGCGCAGGCGAGUCCCUGGACAACACCUGACACUGAGGCACGAAAGCUAGGGGAGCAAACAGG
This 253-nucleotide ribosomal RNA is filed under the name uncultured bacterium. RNAcentral describes it as "partial 16S ribosomal RNA". It matches the Rfam family "Bacterial small subunit ribosomal RNA", at positions 524 to 776 of the family's 1533-position model. The record is from RNAcentral.